UGCAAGUCGAGCGGUAGAGAGGUGCUUGCACCUCUUGAGAGCGGCGGACGGGUGAGUAAUGCCUAGGAAUCUGCCUGGUAGUGGGGGAUAACGUUCGGAAACGGACGCUAAUACCGCAUACGUCCUACGGGAGAAAGCAGGGGACCUUCGGGCCUUGCGCUAUCAGAUGAGCCUAGGUCGGAUUAGCUAGUUGGUGAGGUAAUGGCUCACCAAGGCGACGAUCCGUAACUGGUCUGAGAGGAUGAUCAGUCACACUGGAACUGAGACACGGUCCAGACUCCUACGGGAGGCAGCAGUGGGGAAUAUUGGACAAUGGGCGAAAGCCUGAUCCAGCCAUGCCGCGUGUGUGAAGAAGGUCUUCGGAUUGUAAAGCACUUUAAGUUGGGAGGAAGGGUACUUACCUAAUACGUGAGUAUUUUGACGUUACCGACAGAAUAAGCACCGGCUAACUCUGUGCCAGCAGCCGCGGUAAUACAGAGGGUGCAAGCGUUAAUCGGAAUUACUGGGCGUAAAGCGCGCGUAGGUGGUUCGUUAAGUUGGAUGUGAAAUCCCCGGGCUCAACCUGGGAACUGCAUCCAAAACUGGCGAGCUAGAGUAUGGUAGAGGGUGGUGGAAUUUCCUGUGUAGCGGUGAAAUGCGUAGAUAUAGGAAGGAACACCAGUGGCGAAGGCGACCACCUGGACUGAUACUGACACUGAGGUGCGAAAGCGUGGGGAGCAAACAGGAUUAGAUACCCUGGUAGUCCACGCCGUAAACGAUGUCAACUAGCCGUUGGGAGCCUUGAGCUCUUAGUGGCGCAGCUAACGCAUUAAGUUGACCGCCUGGGG
RNAcentral lists this ribosomal RNA (827 nucleotides) under Pseudomonas sp. AUPY10. Its description in RNAcentral is "bacterial SSU rRNA". It matches the Rfam family "Bacterial small subunit ribosomal RNA", at positions 56 to 878 of the family's 1533-position model. Lineage: Bacteria; Pseudomonadati; Pseudomonadota; Gammaproteobacteria; Pseudomonadales; Pseudomonadaceae. The record is from RNAcentral.